RNAcentral lists this ribosomal RNA (495 nucleotides) under uncultured bacterium. Its description in RNAcentral is "partial 16S ribosomal RNA". It matches the Rfam family "Bacterial small subunit ribosomal RNA", at positions 28 to 507 of the family's 1533-position model. The record is from RNAcentral.
GACGAACGCUGGCGGCGUGCCUAAUACAUGCAAGUAGAACGCUGAAGGAGGAGCUUGCUCUUCUGGAUGAGUUGCGAACGGGUGAGUAACGCGUAGGUAGCCUGCCUGGUAGCGGGGGAUAACUAUUGGAAACGAUAGCUAAUACCGCAUAACAGUAGAUGUUGCAUGACAUUUACUUAAAAGGUGCAAUUGCAUCACUACCAGAUGGACCUGCGUUGUAUUAGCUAGUUGGUGGGGUAACGGCUCACCAAGGCGACGAUACAUAGCCGACCUGAGAGGGUGAUCGGCCACACUGGGACUGAGACACGGCCCAGACUCCUACGGGAGGCAGCAGUAGGGAAUCUUCGGCAAUGGACGGAAGUCUGACCGAGCAACGCCGCGUGAGUGAAGAAGGUUUUCGGAUCGUAAAGCUCUGUUGUAAGAGAAGAACGAGUGUGAGAGUGGAAAGUUCACACUGUGACGGUAUCUUACCAGAAAGGGACGGCUAACUACGUG